RNAcentral lists this ribosomal RNA (427 nucleotides) under uncultured bacterium. RNAcentral's name for it is "partial 16S ribosomal RNA". It matches the Rfam family "Bacterial small subunit ribosomal RNA", at positions 355 to 774 of the family's 1533-position model. The record is from RNAcentral.
UGGGGAAUAUUGGACAAUGGGCGAAAGCCUGAUCCAGCCAUGCCGCGUGUGUGAAGAAGGUCUUCGGAUUGUAAAGCACUUUAAGUUGGGAGGAAGGGCAUUAACCUAAUACGUUAGUGUUUUGACGUUACCGACAGAAUAAGCACCGGCUAACUCUGUGCCAGCAGCCGCGGUAAUACAGAGGGUGCAAGCGUUAAUCGGAAUUACUGGGCGUAAAGCGCGCGUAGGUGGUUUGUUAAGUUGGAUGUGAAAUCCCCGGGCUCAACCUGGGAACUGCAUUCAAAACUGACUGACUAGAGUAUGGUAGAGGGUGGUGGAAUUUCCUGUGUAGCGGUGAAAUGCGUAGAUAUAGGAAGGAACACCAGUGGCUAAGGCGACCUCCUGGACUAAUACUGACACUGAGGUGCGAAAGCGUGGGGAGCAAACA